CAACAGGUAAGCAAGCUCCUGGAAACAAUUUUGAGAAAAAUCAUUUUUUCAAAAGCACACCUGUUUUCUGACUAAAUAUUUUGUUUACAUUGAGCUACACCUCUAAGAGUCCUGAGGUGGAGGAUCAUGUCUCAGAAAUGAGUUACUCUGAGGAGUGUAAGGAGAGGGAAACUUUCUCAAAAAUGAGUCUGAACAGAGAACCGGAGACAUGUGAUUCAGUAGAUCAACAAGGAGACUUAUCCACCACUUUCAAGUUAAUUGAAGAUCAUGCUGUGAGGUUCUUGAAAGAUGAGUUGCGCAAGUUCAAGCGAUAUCUGAGUCAGGAUUACCCAACAUGCCUGGAACUGCAAACUGAUGAUGUGCUGGACAGUGAAGCUAAGAUCCAAAAAAGCUAUGGCAGAGAGGGGGCUCUGAAGAUUACACUGUAUAUCCUGAGGACCAUGAACCAGAAAGACCUUGCAGACAGACUGGAGAAGAGUAAGAAUGUUGUUUACCC
RNAcentral lists this long non-coding RNA (496 nucleotides) under Scleropages formosus (Asian bonytongue). RNAcentral's name for it is "lncRNA (ENSSFOG00015025486.1)". The record is from RNAcentral. Lineage: Eukaryota; Metazoa; Chordata; Actinopteri; Osteoglossiformes; Osteoglossidae.